UAAUAAUUAGUUUAAAUAAAAUUAAUAAUUUCGACUCAU
This 39-nucleotide transfer RNA is filed under the name Camelidae sp. PDM-2021. RNAcentral's name for it is "partial tRNA-Arg". Lineage: Eukaryota; Metazoa; Chordata; Mammalia; Artiodactyla; Camelidae. The record is from RNAcentral.